UACGAAGGGGGCUAGCGUUGCUCGGAAUUACUGGGCGUAAAGCGCACGUAGGCGGCUUUCUAAGCCGGGGGUGAAAUCCUGGAGCUCAACUCCAGAACUGCCUUCGAUACUGGAGAGCUCGAGUCCGGGAGAGGUGAGUGGAACUGCGAGUGUAGAGGUGAAAUUCGUAGAUAUUCGCAAGAACACCAGUGGCGAAGGCGGCUCACUGGCCCGGUACUGACGCUGAGGUGCGAAAGCUAGGGGAGCAAACGGG
Molecule: ribosomal RNA, 253 nt
Filed under: uncultured bacterium
Lineage: Bacteria
Description: partial 16S ribosomal RNA
Rfam family: Bacterial small subunit ribosomal RNA
Source: RNAcentral